UUUUCGGUGCAAGGGACCGCACAAAAAGAGAGAUUGUCUUAAGAGGGCAGUGUUCGUGGCCAAGGGUAAAGAGCCAGAAUAACCCUCUCCACCAUCGGAGCCAGUAAGCGUGGAGAGCUUGCAUUAUUGUUCACUGGGUGCCAUGAGGUUAAUUGGACUAAGUGAAGCUCCUAGCAAAGAUGGAGAGCGGGAUAAUGGCAUGGAGAAUGCCGCUGAAGAGGAGAAUGCCAAGGAUGUGUGUGGGACUCAAGAGCAGUCCAAGUUACCGAGGGAGCUACCACCCGAGGAAGAG
This 292-nucleotide unclassified non-coding RNA is filed under the name Hevea brasiliensis (rubber tree). The record is from RNAcentral. Lineage: Eukaryota; Viridiplantae; Streptophyta; Magnoliopsida; Malpighiales; Euphorbiaceae.